This 549-nucleotide ribosomal RNA is filed under the name Fusarium sp. BAB-4622. RNAcentral's name for it is "eukaryotic LSU rRNA". The stretch from base 181 to 334 matches the Rfam family "5.8S ribosomal RNA". The record is from RNAcentral. Lineage: Eukaryota; Fungi; Ascomycota; Sordariomycetes; Hypocreales; Nectriaceae.
UUCCGUAGGAGUACCUGCGGAGGGAUCAUUACCGAGUUUACAACUCCCAAACCCCUGUGAACAUACCUAUACGUUGCCUCGGCGGAUCAGCCCGCGCCCCGUAAAACGGGACGGCCCGCCCGAGGACCCCUAAACUCUGUUUUUAGUGGAACUUCUGAGUAAAACAAACAAAUAAAUCAAAACUUUCAACAACGGAUCUCUUGGUUCUGGCAUCGAUGAAGAACGCAGCAAAAUGCGAUAAGUAAUGUGAAUUGCAGAAUUCAGUGAAUCAUCGAAUCUUUGAACGCACAUUGCGCCCGCCAGUAUUCUGGCGGGCAUGCCUGUUCGAGCGUCAUUUCAACCCUCAAGCUCAGCUUGGUGUUGGGACUCGCGGUAACCCGCGUUCCCCAAAUCGAUUGGCGGUCACGUCGAGCUUCCAUAGCGUAGUAAUCAUACACCUCGUUACUGGUAAUCGUCGCGGCCACGCCGUAAAACCCCAACUUCUGAAUGUUGACCUCGGAUCAGGUAGGAAUACCCGCUGAACUUAAGCAUAUCAAUAAGGCGGAGGAA